This is a small nucleolar RNA of Rattus rattus (black rat), 131 nucleotides long. RefSeq annotates it as small nucleolar RNA SNORA17. NCBI's taxonomy places the organism in Eukaryota, Metazoa, Chordata, Mammalia, Rodentia, Muridae. The record is from RefSeq and is a predicted model, not a curated record. The transcript has a single exon.
CCCGUCCUGACACAUGCUGCAGGUGUGGCUGCUGUCACAUGUGCAUCAGGGGGUGCCAGAGAUGAGAGAGGUCAUGUCUACACUCUCAUGUUCUGACUUAUGAACAUCUGAAUAAUUAGUAGCCUAACAUU